This 466-nucleotide ribosomal RNA is filed under the name uncultured bacterium. Its description in RNAcentral is "partial 16S ribosomal RNA". It matches the Rfam family "Bacterial small subunit ribosomal RNA", at positions 28 to 507 of the family's 1533-position model. The record is from RNAcentral.
GAUGAACGCUGGCGGCGUGCUUAACACAUGCAAGUCGAACGGAAAAGCCCUGCUUGCAGGGUACUCGAGUGGCGAACGGGUGAGUAACACGUGGGUGAUCUGCCCUGUACUUUGGGAUAAGCCUGGGAAACUGGGUCUAAUACCGAAUAUGACAAUUGUUUGGAUGCGAUUGUGGAAAGCUUUUGCGGUAUGGGAUGAGCUCGCGGCCUAUCAGCUUGUUGGUGGGGUAAUGGCCUACCAAGGCGUCGACGGGUAGCCGGCCUGAGAGGGUGUACGGCCACAUUGGGACUGAGAUACGGCCCAGACUCCUACGGGAGGCAGCAGUGGGGAAUAUUGCACAAUGGGCGCAAGCCUGAUGCAGCGACGCCGCGUGGGGGAUGACGGCCUUCGGGUUGUAAACUCCUUUCGCAACCGACGAAGCCUUUUGGUGACGGUAGGUUGAGAAGAAGCACCGGCUAACUACGUG